UAGGGAAUCUUCGGCAAUGGACGAAAGUCUGACCGAGCAACGCCGCGUGAGUGAAGAAGGUUUUCGGAUCGUAAAACUCUGUUGGUAGAGAAGAACGUUGGUGAGAGUGGAAAGCUCAUCAAGUGACGGUAACUACCCAGAAAGGGACGGCUAACAACGUGCCAG
RNAcentral lists this ribosomal RNA (165 nucleotides) under uncultured bacterium. RNAcentral's name for it is "partial 16S rRNA". It matches the Rfam family "Bacterial small subunit ribosomal RNA", at positions 355 to 511 of the family's 1533-position model. The record is from RNAcentral.